Molecule: ribosomal RNA, 910 nt
Filed under: uncultured bacterium
Lineage: Bacteria
Description: bacterial SSU rRNA
Rfam family: Bacterial small subunit ribosomal RNA
Source: RNAcentral
CCUUAGAGUUUGAUCCUGGCUCAGGAUGAACGCUAGCUACAGGCUUAACACAUGCAAGUCGAGGGGAAACGACAUCGAAAGCUUGCUUUUGAUGGGCGUCGACCGGCGCACGGGUGAGUAACGCGUAUCCAACCUGCCCACCACUUGGGGAUAACCUUGCGAAAGUAAGACUAAUACCCAAUGAUAUCUCUAGAAGACAUCUGAAAGAGAUUAAAGAUUUAUCGGUGAUGGAUGGGGAUGCGUCUGAUUAGCUUGUUGGCGGGGUAACGGCCCACCAAGGCAACGAUCAGUAGGGGUUCUGAGAGGAAGGUCCCCCACAUUGGAACUGAGACACGGUCCAAACUCCUACGGGAGGCAGCAGUGAGGAAUAUUGGUCAAUGGACGAGAGUCUGAACCAGCCAAGUAGCGUGCAGGAUGACGGCCCUAUGGGUUGUAAACUGCUUUUAUAAGGGAAUAAAGUGAGUCUCGUGAGAUUUUUUGCAUGUACCUUAUGAAUAAGGACCGGCUAAUUCCGUGCCAGCAGCCGCGGUAAUACGGAAGGUCCGGGCGUUAUCCGGAUUUAUUGGGUUUAAAGGGAGCGUAGGCCGGAGAUUAAGCGUGUUGUGAAAUGUAGAUGCUCAACAUCUGCACUGCAGCGCGAACUGGUUUCCUUGAGUACGCACAAAGUGGGCGGAAUUCGUGGUGUAGCGGUGAAAUGCUUAGAUAUCACGAAGAACUCCGAUUGCGAAGGCAGCUCACUGGAGCGCAACUGACGCUGAAGCUCGAAAGUGCGGGUAUCGAACAGGAUUAGAUACCCUGGUAGUCCGCACGGUAAACGAUGGAUGCCCGCUGUUGGUCUGAAUAGGUCAGCGGCCAAGCGAAAGCAUUAAGCAUCCCACCUGGGGAGUACGCCGGCAACGGUGAAACUCAA